RNAcentral lists this long non-coding RNA (10686 nucleotides) under Homo sapiens (human). RNAcentral describes it as "HSALNT0386364". Lineage: Eukaryota; Metazoa; Chordata; Mammalia; Primates; Hominidae. The record is from RNAcentral.
GCCAGACAGCUGAGGGCCCUGGCUGACCUGCUGGCCCAUUCACCUGAACAAGGUUCACCCAGGGCAGUUUCCACAAAUCCGGAGCAGAGCCAGAGAGCCAGCCCAUGCCUGGCACAGAGGAGACGCUCAACACCUGUCAUCCCUUCCCUUCUCCUGCCUGUCCCUCAGAGUUCCUGGAGCUUCCGUUCUGCUGAGCCUCAUGCUGCCCAUGCGACACAUCACGACCAUUUUCAGGACCACAACCUCCCUGUCCCAUGGCCGUUUUCUGAGGUCUAGAAGUCACCCCCUUGGGCUUAAGCAACCACGAGGCCAUGGAUGGUCACAAAUUUCCCUGGGCUGCACUCCACAAACCCUCCAGUGGGCACAGCACGUGUCUCUCACAUUUUGGAGAGAAAGGAACUGAGAACUCCCAUUUCUGGAACCCCAUGCCAGUUCUAGAAGGUUCCAUCCUGAAGAUGAAAGCUGAUUUGUCAUCUGUGGUGUGUCCCAAGAAAAGAAAAAUACCUCAUUUUGUACUGAGCACUAACUACACACCAGGUGCCUAUUGAAGCCUCUGAGGGUCAUGUCCAUCAAAGAAUCCUCCAGCCUCUUCCCCAGUAUCAAAGCAACCACUCAGGGUAAUCUCACGGAGCUGCAGAGUUGACGUCUGUCCUUGGAAGGGUCAUGGCCAGACGGCCACUCAGCCACAGGCAUUUGCCCAGCUGGCCACAAUCCCUGUGGGCAAGUGUCCCAGGCUCAAUUUUUGGCCUUCCAAGAAGCCAUUGGAGCAGAGGAGCUACAUUUCUGGGGCCAAGUCAUUCAUAAGAGAAGAGGAACAAGGCAAGCCGGGAAACAUGCUUGCCCCUCAACUGGGAGAGGCAAGAGAAGAUGACCAAGAUCAUCCAAAAGAACAUUCCAGCUUUUCUUCUUUGCCUGAAAGAAAACAAUUGACAGCCUCUACCAGGGAAUUAUGUCCUCGAAAGGCCAGGUAUAGCCCAGGAGGACAGAGAGCACUGGCUUUGGUGACAGGCAGAUCUGGGUUUGGGUCCCCACUCAGCCAUUUAAUUUGCUGUGUGACCUUGAAAAAGUGACCUUACCUCUCUGACUGUUUUCCUUUCUUUUUUCUUUCUUUUUUUUUUUUUUUUUUUGAGAUGGAGUCUUACACUGUUGCCCAAGCUGGAGUGCAAUGGUGUAAUCUCGGCUCUCUGCAGCCUCCCCCUCCCGGGUUCCAGCAAUUCUCCUGCCUCAGCCUCUAGAGUAGCUGAGAUUACAGGCACCCGCCACCACGCCCGGCUAAUUUUUUGUAUUUUUAGUAGAUACAGGGUUUCACUAUGUUGGCCAGGCUGGUCUCGAACUCCGGACCUCAUGAUCCACCCACCUCAGCCUCCCAAAGUGCUGAGAUUACAGGCAUGAGCCACCACACCCGGCAAAAAUAUGGAACGCUUCACGAAUUUGCAUGUCAUCCUUGUGCAGGGGCCAUGCUAAUCUUCUCUGUAUCGUUCCAAUUUUAGUAUAUGUACUGCCAAAGCGAGCACUGUUUUCCUUUCUGUAAACUGGGAAUAAUAGCAAUGCCCUUCCCCCAAAGGAUGGUAGUGAGAAUUGGCUGAAAUAAAAUGCUUUCUUCUAUAGUAAAGCAGUUGCAAGGAGUAAAAGCCAGAAGAAUAUUUAUUCAUUGGUUUGAGAAACAAAAUCAUUGAUGCCAACAUUCCCGGGGCCUUGAGUAAUUAUGCCAUGGGCUUGCCUGAAACACUGAUAAAUUUAGAGAAGCCACCAAAGCCACAGUAACUGAGGCCACACUAUGAGGUCAGCCUCUUUUUCCCCCCAGGUCUUUGAGGUGACAGUUUAGACAGGAGGUAGGAAUCUUGCUAAUGAAAGGAGAGCCUCACCUUCAAUUAAGGCGUCACCAGAGUGGGAAAUUCAUCAGCCCUGGUGAUGGUGACUUACGCCACACUUGAGCCUUGCAAGUCCAGGAUGACACAACCCAAGGCAGAAACCAUGAAAUUAGAACAAAGGUCUAAGUAAUAAGCAGACCUGGGAGUUCCAUUCAGGUGAGCAGGGCUGUUGCUCAGCAGGUGAGCCUGCCCCGCCAUGGAGACUCAGCGCUAGAGUGAGAACCACAUCUGCUCACACCAGGGGCCUGAACCCUGCUAACCCCACGGGGGGUUCUCACAGCCAAAAGCUCUUGUGACUCUUCCAAUAAUAGCAACUCCCACCCAGCGCCUUCUCUCCAAGAGCAGUGCUUCUCAAACCGCACUGUGCACAUGAAUCAGCUGGGAUGUUAUUAGAACGCAUCUUAAGGCAGCGGCUCAUGCCUGUAAUACCAACAUUUUAGGAGGCCAAGGCGGGAGGAUCACUUGAGGCUAGGAGUUUGAGACCAACCUGGGUGAUGUGGGCACAAGACCCCGGUCUCUAUACAAAAAUACUGUUUUUUAAUUAGCCAGGCAUGGUGGUGUGUGCCUGUAGUCCCAGCUACUCAGGAGGCUGAAGCAGGAGGAUCACUUGAACCCAGGAGGUCCAGGCUACUGUGAGCUAUGAUCAUACCACUGCACUCCAACCUCGGCAACAGGAAAAAAAGAAAAGAAAAGAAAGAAAUACAGCUUAAGCUUUAGUGGGUCUUGAGAUUCCACAUGUCUGACAAGCUCUCCGUGGAUACAGCUGGUGAACAAUGAGGGCCUAGACUUUCCUUGGGCCCCACAGACACCUUGGGUUGCCCUUCACCAGGUAGACCUGGGAACCCUGAUCAGUUUGUACUCCAAGAUUUAGGAUUCAAGCAACUAACAGCACAACUAUAAACUGGAUCCCUCAUGAUUUCUUUGGGGGUUGAGGGGAAAGGGAUAGGAUACAAAAUGAAUUAAACAUAAACAUUUGUGGCAGGAUAAUUUAUUGCAAGGUGAAUUUUUUGUUUUGUUUUGUUUUGUUUUUGUUUUUUUUAAGACAGAGUCUCGUUCUGUCACCCAGCCUGGAGUACAGUGGCGCAAUCUUGGCUCACUGCAACAUCCACCUCCUGGGUUCAAGCCAUUCUCUUGCCUCAGCCUCCCAAGUAGCUGGGACUACAGGAAUGCACCACCAUGCCCGUCUAAUUUUUGUAUUUUUGGUAGAGACGGGGUUUCACCAUGUUGUCCAGGCUGGACUCGAACUCCUGAACUCAGGUGAUCCUCCUGCCUUGGCCUCCCAGAGUGCUGGGAUUACAGCCAUGAGCCACGGCGCCAGGCCCUUUUUUUUUUUUUUUUUUUUUUUUUUUUUAGACAAAGUCUCGCCCAAGCUAGAACGCAUCAGCGCAAUCUUGGCUCACUGCAAUCUCUACCUCCCAGGUUCAAGUGAUUCUCCUGCCUGAGCCUCCCAAGUAGCUGGGAUGUGCCAUCAUACCCGGCUAAUUUUUGUAUUUUUAGUAAGGACAAGGUUUCACCAUGUUGGCUAGGCUGGUCUAGAACUCCUAACCUCAGGUGAUCCACCCACCUUGGCUUCCCAAAGUGCUAAGAUUAUAGACGUGAGCCACCGCGCCUGGCCGCAAGGUGAAUUUUUUUUCUCCCAGCAUACUGCCCUUUCCCCAACACACACACACCCUUUUCAGGUAGCAAGACCCUUUGAUGCCUUCUUGCCACAGAGAUUUUUAAAUUUCAACUAAUUUCAGAAGUCAGGCACUUUCCUUUAAAAACGGAGGGCUCCGGGUAAAGUCCAUCCUCUCCCAUCACCCCUACUCCUCACUCACAGCUUCAGACAUCCCUACGGAUAUUUAGGCAAAGGUAUUUUAAAAGAGAGAUGUUUGCAGGAUCAUGUUGGACUGGCUCUUCCUUUCUUUUAUUAAAAAUAUAUAAGCCGGCCAGGCUCGGUGGCUCAUACCUGUAAUCCCAGCACUUUGGGAGGCUGAAGCAGGUGGAUCACCUGAGGUCAGGAGUUCAAGACCAUCCUGGCCAACAUGGAAACCCCAUCUCUACUAAAAAUACACAAAUUAGCCAGGUGUGGUGGCAGGUGCCUGUAAUCCCAGCUACUCCGGAGUCUAAGGCAGAAGAAUCGCUUGAACCUGGGAGGUAGAGGUUGCAGUGAGCCGAGAUCACACGACUGCAUUGCAGCCUGGGUGGCAAAGCAACACUCUGUCUCAAAUAUAUAUAUAUAUAUAUGCCCAGGAUGCCAGGAGGGCAGAGGGGACAGUGGCUACCGUUUCCUAUCUUGUAUAAGAUGUAGUUGCAGGGUGGAGGUAAAUAGUGAUGGCACCAAAGGGAAGCUUGGGGGCCUUCAGUCUCCCCAUUAACUUCACCAGGACCCCUUCCCCUAAUCCCUGAACACAGCUAACCACAACACUCUUCAGAUGUGGAUCUCAGCACCCAAGGGGAGAUUCCCUCCCACAGGAAUGAGCCCUGCACUGGGGAGCAGAGGUGUGCUCUCCAUUGAGGCAUCUGGGCAGGGCUGAGCUCAGAAGGUCUUCCGGCUGCACCCAGGCUCCUGUCCCAAGCACACUCUUCCUGGAAGCAGCCCCCACAGACUCCCAGGACCCAGAGAUCGGGACUCCCAUGGUGUCAGUAUCAGAGACUAUGGCAUGGAAAUGCAGGGCCCCUACUCCCGACUUUGGGUGAGUUUCCCAUCGUGGUGAUGUGACACCUGGGAGGGGGAGGGACCCUAAAAUUACUGAAGAGGAAUUUAUGGCCACCUGUCUCUAAGGGAGCUUGGGGUCAGACCUAGGGAGUAUCAGUAGCAUUUUAAAAAGUGGUAUCAUACCUCCUGCAUACACUUAAUGAUAUUCAAUAUUUAGGAAUGCAGUUGCUUUUUUUUUUUUUUUUUUUUGAGUCUGAGUCUUGCUCUGUCACCAGGCUGGAGUGCAAUGGCAUGAUCUAGGCUCAAGUUCUGCCUCCCGGGUUCAAGCAAUUCUCCUGCCUCAGCCUCCUGAGUAGCUGGGAUUACAGGCGCGUGCCACCACGCCCGGCUACUUUUUUGUAUUUUUAGUAGAGACAGGGUUUCACCGUGUUAGCCAGGAUGGUCUCUACCUCCUGACCUCAUGAUCUGCCCGCUCGGCCUCCCAAAGUGCUGGGAUUACAGGCGUGAGCCACCGCGCCCCGGGAAUGCAUUUAUUUUUAAAGUAAUAUACAUACUAUAGCUUAGCAACACAUUAUCAAAUAAAUUAUUUGAUGAAAAAUUGCAAAAGUUACCAUCUGUGAAAAUAAUCUCCCAGUAUUGUUUCUUAGUGGACCUCUCCUGGUCUUAACUAUUCUAGGCUGGGAAACAUUGGUUUGUCCCUGAGCAAACUGCACUCCCUGACAUUUUUUGAACAUUAAAAAAAUUAUCACAAAAGUUUUACACAUUAUACAAUUCAUUAAUUAUUCAGUAAACUCUUCACCUUGAUCCUUUUUUCAAAGUGUUAAAAUUCUGAAGUCUCUGUAAAAUAAAAAUACCUUUAAAUUUUUAUUUAUUUAUUAUUUUAUUAUUUUUAGAGACAGGUUCUCGCUCUGUUGCCCAGGCUGCAGUGCAGUGGUACCAUUAUGGCUCACUGUAGCCUCAACCCCCUGGACUCAAGCAAUCCUCCCACCUCAGCCUCCUGAAUAGCUAGGAUUAUAGGCACACGUCACAAGUCCAGCUAAUUUUUUUAUUUUUUAUUUUUGUAGAGACCGGGUCUCACUAUAUUGGCCAGGUUGGUCUUAAACUCCUGACCUCAAGCAAUCCCCUUGCCUCAGCCUCCCAAAGUGUUGGGAUUACAGGCAUGAGCCACUGUGCCCUGCAAAAAUACCUUUAGGUGCCAUUUGAUUGAGUGUUACCUAUUGGUGUCUCUACUGCAUGCAACUCUGCAGAGGAAGCAAUUCAUGAGCUAUGCUCAAACCUUUGUCAUCACUGCUGCCAAUAGCUUUUCCCAAGGAGGUAGAUCUGAGAAACAGAGGGAGAUCCUUGGACAUGGUGGUAAAAUUCAGGAGGAAAAAAAAUGCAACAGAAAAGCUGCUUUCUUGUGCUUUCCUCUUUGCUAAGACUGGCUCCCUGCAGGCCCCUCCUUCUGUGAGUAAGAACGGAGGCGGGUUCUCUCUUUUGUUCUAGGUACAGUCAUGGGAGAGAUGCUGCCUCUUCCCCAAAGGCACAAUAGCACCGAUAUUUGAAGAGUCAGUGAUAGACGAUUUCAUCAGAAGGUUCUGGCAACAGAAACUACCAAACGACUUAUUUUAAAAACAAAACAAAAUGGAAAAUAUUAAAAUCCAAUCAGCUCAUUGAUCACCAGGGAGAAAGAAAAUGAACAUGUGUCUCUUGUACUCAGCCUGCUCUAAAAUAUGAAACUGGAAUGUGUUUCAGAAAGCAACAAAGAUGUGAGUAUGGAAUAUUAAAGCACUAUGAUAAUUUGAUAGUACAAUUUUCCUUUGUGGAUUUCCUGUAGUGACCAAUAUUAAUAUAAUAGGAGUGAACAUCUACUGGGUACUUAUUACAUAUUAGCAUUUUCUAUGGUAUUUUAUUAGGUUACAGAACAACCCAAUGAGGAAAGUACUACUCUUGUCAGCCCUGUUUCAUAGACUAGGAACAGAGGAACCGUGAUUCACCCAAAGUUUUGAGUGAUUCACCCAAAGUUUUGUGGCUAAUAAAACUCCAUUCCAGCCCAGGCGCAGUGGCUCAUGCCUGUAAUCCCAACACUUCGGGAGGCCGAGGCAGGCAGAUCACUUGAGGUCAGGAGUUCAAGACCAGCCUGGCCAACAUGGAGAAACCCUGUCUCUACUAAAAACAUAAAAAUUAGCCAGAUAUGGUGGCAUGUGCCUGUAACCCUAGCUACUCAGGAGGCUAAGGCGUGAAAAUGGCUUGAACCCAGGAGGCAGAGGUUGCAGUAAGCUGAGAUUGUGCCACUGCACUCUAGCCUAGAUGACAGAGUGAGACUACAUCUCAGAAACAAAAAACAAACAAAAACUCCAUUCCAGCCUGGGCGCCUCUCUCCAGGCCCUCACUUCCAACCCAGAACACACUAGAUUCCAGAGGGAAACCCAGUCGCCAGCCUGAAGCUGGCAUUCAGGUUGCCCUUCUCAGGGAACUCAAAGGGUGACGCAGGAAUUUUCUCUGUUUUGCUUGUUUUGAGUCAGGGCCUCUGUCGCCCAGGCCAGAAUGCAGUAGCAAGAUCAUGGGCUCACUGCAGCCUUGACCUUCCUGGGGUCUAGCGAUCCUUCCACCUCAGGCUCCCAAAUAGGUGGGACUACAGGCAUUCCACUACACCCGGCUAAUUUUUGUAUUUUUGGUAGAAACAGGAUUUCACCAUGUUGCCCAGUCUGGUCUUGAACUCCUGGGCUCAAGAGAUCCUCCCACCUCAGCCUCCCACAGUGCUGGCAUUACAGGUUUGAGCCACUGUGCCUGGCCAGUGCAGGCAUUUUCUCCUUGGCCCUUAUCAGCUUGGUGGAGCUAAGAGCAUUAUUUUCUCCUGAUGAAGAGCUAAGCCUCUGGGCAGAAGUUGAGCAGCCCAGGCAAGGUCAAGAAGGGAAUGAAUGGUAGACUUUCUGGUCUCAGGCUGCAAAUUCCUUCUGUCUAAUCGAACUACCCCAAAAGGCACAAAAAGAAAACAAAAAUGUACCCUCUUGCUCCAAAACCAUUCUCCUGGCUUUCUCAGCCCUUUAUGGGACAUCUCAGCCCUUUAUGUAUUUUUGUUCUUAUUUUUUUGAGACAGGGUCUUGCUCUGUUGCGCAGGCUGGUGUAUAGUGGUGCCAUCAUAGCUCACUGCAGCCUCGAAGUCCUGGGCUCAUACAAUCCUCCCACCUCAGCCUCCUGAGUAGCUGAGACUACAGGCACACACCAUCAUAAGCUGCUAAUUUUUAAAAUUUUUUUGUAGAGAUAGGGUCUUGUGGUAUAGCCCAGGCUGGUCUCAAACUCCUGGUAUAAAGUGAUACUUCUGCUUUGGUCUCCCAAAGUGUUGAGAUUACAGGUGUAAGCCACUGUACCUUGCCUCAUCUCAGUCCUUUAAAGAUGCACCGGAGGCUCUGCUAGUCAUUAGAAACCAGUGCAUAUAGUGUGUGUGUGUUUGUUUAUGUGUGUGUAUGUGUUUUGUAAGGGUGACAGAGUUGGCGAGUGAGGGCAACAACCAAGGAAUUCAAUCAACUCAAUAGAGAAAAACAUUACAUCACUGACAAUGUAGCAGCAGGGCCAGGUGGUGGCUCUUGCCUAUAAUCCCAGCACAUUGGGAGGCCGAGACGGGUGGAUUGCUUGAGCCUAGGAGUUUGAGACCAGUCUGGGCAACAUGGCGAAACCCCGUCUCUACUAAAAACACAGAAAUUAGCCAGGCAUGGUGGUGCAAGCCUAUAAUCCCAGCUAUUCAGGAGGCUGAGGCAGGAGAAUUGCUUGAACCUGGAAGGCAGAGGUUGCAGUGAGCCAAGAUCAUGCCACUACACUCCAACAUAGGUGACAGAGUGAGACUCAGUCAAAAAAGAAAGAAAGAAAGAGAGAGAAAGACGGAAGGAAGGAGAAAGAAAGAAAGAAAAGAGAAAGAAAGAAAGAGAAAGGAAGGAAGGAAGAAAGAAAGAAAGAAAGAAAGAAAGAGUAGCAGUAAACAUGAGACUAGUUGCCAUAGCAACCAUUUAAUUGACAUUUUCAUUUUCCCAGCAUUUGUUCUGGGCAGGUGUGGGCAGACAUGUGUCCUCAGGGAUGUGCAAGGAUGAGGGUGUGUCUGUUUCCCCCAUUAGUCUUCAUAAUUGAAGGGGUUGGUACUGCUCCUAGACAAGGCCUUGGGAAUCGGGACUUUAACAGUGCACAGAAAACCCCGUCUGAGAACAUCCACAGCAGGCAGAGCCAACCUCACCGUGUAAAGGCAGUGGAGGUGAUGGUGAACUUGCUUGCUGCGUGGAUGGGAUGCUGAGGCUCAAGUGGAGGGCCAUACAGAUUGGCCUUGGCAGAGCGCAGCCCAGACCCAGGUCCGCUAACUCCUGGUGGGCCACACUGGCUUGAAGCCACACUGGCUUGCUGAACCAGGGUCAAGUAGCCGGGGUUAGGGGAAAAAAUAUAAGACGAGGAAGAAGCAUAGCACAGCUUAAAUCCAUCGAGAGUGCAGAAUCACCUUUCAUCUUCUGAAGGAGCAAUUGUUUUCUGUACCAAACCACACAAUGCAAGCAAAUCUGCUGCCAAAGAACAAAGAGAAAAAUGCAGGGAACAAGCAGCUUCCCAAGCCUCGCAGCCGGGGAUGGAAUUAAAUUCAAAUUCACCUGCAAGAGCAGCUGAUGGUUCAGCUACAAACCGCCUCCAAGCAGCCUCUGAGAUUCAAAAUUCAUGCGCCCUGCGAACUACACAGCAUAUACUAGUGGCAGCCCUGGCUGGGUCCUCGCAGCCACGCAAUUUUUGAGGAUGACACACAUGGAAUACUAAACAUAUCCCGGGAGUUCCAGACACAGCCACCUAGUUACAGCCCAGCCUGCUCUUGUCUGCAGCAAUUUUUCUCAAAGGUGCGGCUUCAUGCAUAUCUAUUACCAAGCACACGUAGACAAGACGGUGUUCGGAAAGCACAGCCCCGAGUGGGAAACAGGAGCUGUCAGCAAAUCAUUUUCACAGGAACAGGAAAAUCUUUACGUGGAAAAUAUUGCUUUGGGACUUCCCCGGGAGGAAAGAACGAGCUGAAAUUGAUGGUGUUGCAGCUUCCAUUUUCCAAAAAGCAAAAUGCUUUUAAGACCAUCAGGGUUACGCUUGAUCAUAGCUUUGCUUAAUCCAUUUCUUCACGGGUUUUGCCCUUGUCAUCUUUGCUUCCUGAACCACUCCUGCACCUUACAGUCACCGCAAAUCCCAUCCCAUAAAAAUCUGUGGCGUCUCUGUGUGUGGAAAUCAAACAACAAAAAGGCACCGCCAUGUGUAGCUGCGUUACGCUUUCGGUGGAAAGAUGACAUGGAUGAAAUGGCCCCUGGGAAACACUGGGGAGGCCUGACUAGCAAGGUGCAGAGUGGGGGAUUAAUGGGGAGAUACACAGGGCCUCUUACUAAAACUGAGAAUAGCAUUCUGUUGAAGAACCCUUAUUUUGAGGCUGGGCACAGUGGCUCACGCCUGUAACAUCAGCACUUGGGGAGGCCGAAGUGGGAGGAUUACUUGAGGCCAGGAGGUCAAGGCUGCAGUGAGUUAUGAUCAAGCCACUGCACUUCAGCCUGAGUGACAGAGGGAGACCCUGUCUCUAAAAAAAUUAAAAAGAAACCAUAUUUGGGGUGAUGAUAUCCAUCCCCUAAAAUAAUAAAGAUUAGCUGGGCACAGUGACUCAAGCUUGUAAUCCCAGCACUUUGGGGAGGCCAAGGCGGGAGGAUCCCUUGAGCUCAGGAGUUCAAGACUAGCCUGGGCAACAUGGGGAGACCCCAUCUCUACAAAAAGGAAAAAAAAAUUCCAGGCAUGGUGGUGCACACCUGUGGUCCCAGCUACUUGGGAGGCUAAAGUGGGAGGAUCACUUGGGAUUGGGAGGUGGAGGCUACGGUGAGCCAUGAUCAUCCCACUGCACUCCAGCCUCGGUGACAGAGCAAGACCAUGUCUCAAUAAUGAUAAUAAUAAUAAAAAGAUUAUUUAUAAAUGUCUCUGUAACUGAAACACCCCCUCAAAAAAAUCCUGUAAAUUGGAGACCUUACCUAUCAUCGUUCCCUUCAUUUUAUUUUAAAUUUCAUUGAAAUUUAUCCUAAAGCACUUCCUGUGACUUGAAAAUGCAGGCAUUUUGGCUAACAUUAUUAUUCAUUUCUUUACAUUUGAAUGUAAUAAACGUGUCAGGUUUAUUUAUCUGAACUUAAAUCUAAGUUUUAGUGAUUUUUUCCCCCC